GGCGCUAUAGCCAAGUGGUUACGGCGACAGAUUAGAAUGUUGCUGACUUACUAUCUGUUCCUCUUUGAGGGCGCAGGUUCAAAUCCUGCUGGCGUCG
Molecule: non-coding RNA, 97 nt
Organism: Asterophora parasitica
Lineage: Eukaryota; Fungi; Basidiomycota; Agaricomycetes; Agaricales; Lyophyllaceae
Source: the annotation of a GenBank genome assembly